RNAcentral lists this ribosomal RNA (254 nucleotides) under uncultured bacterium. Its description in RNAcentral is "partial 16S ribosomal RNA". It matches the Rfam family "Bacterial small subunit ribosomal RNA", at positions 524 to 776 of the family's 1533-position model. The record is from RNAcentral.
UACGUAGGGUGCGAGCGUUGUCCGGAAUUAUUGGGCGUAAAGAGCUCGUAGGCGGUGUGUCACGUCGGCCGUGAAAACCUGCAGCUUAACUGUGGGCGUGCGGUCGAUACGGGCAUCACUGGAGUUCGGCAGGGGAGACUGGAAUUCCUGGUGUAGCGGUGAAAUGCGCAGAUAUCAGGAGGAACACCGAUGGCGAAGGCAGGUCUCUGGGCUGACACUGACGCUCAUGCACGAAAGCGUGGGGAGCAGACAGG